UACGGAGGGGGCUAGCGUUGUUCGGAAUUACUGGGCGUAAAGCGCACGUAGGCGGCUUUGUAAGUUAGAGGUGAAAGCCCGGGGCUCAACUCCGGAAUUGCUUUUAAGACUGCAUCGCUCGAAUUGUGGAGAGGUAAGUGGAAUUCCGAGUGUAGAGGUGAAAUUCGUAGAUAUUCGGAAGAACACCAGUGGCGAAGGCGACUUACUGGACACAUAUUGACGCUGAGGUGCGAAAGCGUGGGGAGCAAACAGG
RNAcentral lists this ribosomal RNA (253 nucleotides) under uncultured bacterium. Its description in RNAcentral is "partial 16S ribosomal RNA". It matches the Rfam family "Bacterial small subunit ribosomal RNA", at positions 524 to 776 of the family's 1533-position model. The record is from RNAcentral.